GAUGAACGCUGGCGGCGUGCUUAACACAUGCAAGUCGAACGAGAAGUGAAGACGGAAACCUUCGGGCGGAAGGCUUUAUUCCGAGUGGCGGACGGGUGAGUAACGCGUGGGUAACCUGCCUCAUACAGGGGGAUAACAGUUGGAAACGACUGUUAAUACCGCAUAAGACCACAGCACCGCAUGGUGCGGGGGUAAAAACUCCGGUGGUAUGAGAUGGACCCGCGUUCGAUUAGCCAGUUGGCGGGGUAACGGCCCACCAAAGCGACGAUCGAUAGCCGAUCUGAGAGGAUGACCGGCCACAUUGGGACUGAGACACGGCCCAAACUCCUACGGGAGGCAGCAGUGGGGAAUAUUGCACAAUGGGGGAAACCCUGAUGCAGCGACGCCGCGUGAGUGAAGAAGUAUUUCGGUAUGUAAAGCUCUAUCAGCAGGGAAGAAAAUGACGGUACCUGAGUAAGAAGCCCCGGCUAACUACGUG
Molecule: ribosomal RNA, 478 nt
Filed under: uncultured bacterium
Lineage: Bacteria
Description: partial 16S ribosomal RNA
Rfam family: Bacterial small subunit ribosomal RNA
Source: RNAcentral